RNAcentral lists this ribosomal RNA (255 nucleotides) under uncultured bacterium. RNAcentral's name for it is "partial 16S ribosomal RNA". It matches the Rfam family "Bacterial small subunit ribosomal RNA", at positions 524 to 776 of the family's 1533-position model. The record is from RNAcentral.
UACGGGGGGGAGCAAGCGUUGUUCGGAUUUACUGGGCGUAAAGGGCGCGUAGGCGGUCGUGACAAGUCACUUGUGAAAUCUCCGGGCUUAACUCGGAACGGUCAAGUGAUACUGUCGGACUAGAGUACAGAAGGGGCAACUGGAAUUCUCGGUGUAGCGGUGAAAUGCGUAGAUAUCGAGAGGAACACCUGCGGCGAAGGCGGGUUGCUGGGACGUAACUGACGCUGAGACGCGAAAGCGUGGGGAGCAAACAGG